Megalobrama amblycephala (Wuchang bream) is the source of this 1850-nucleotide long non-coding RNA. RefSeq lists it as uncharacterized. NCBI's taxonomy places the organism in Eukaryota, Metazoa, Chordata, Actinopteri, Cypriniformes, Xenocyprididae. The transcript has 3 exons. The record is from RefSeq and is a predicted model, not a curated record.
GGCAACGUGAGUCGAGAAGGGCAUAUGGGCAGUUGCCCGGGCAACCUGAGCAACCCCCCUGUGCACGUCCCUGAGCACCUGUAUAAUCCAAAUUAGAAUCACAAAACUCCCCGUGGAUUCAAGAAGGAGCUGAAUUUCACUCAGGCAUUCUCUCUGUCACCAGGAGAAAAAGGACCAUUCAGAUCUGGCAUAACCUUCCACAAGUGAAUUGACUAAACUCAAUAAUGCUGGAAAGAAAUUUUGGGAUGGACAAAAAGUUUUUUGUUUUUUUUAACACCCAUCUCCUCAUUUUACAUUCAAGGAUGCCAACAUAUCAGUAGUACUGACACUAUUAUUUAUUGAAGGAAAUGAAUGAAUAAAAUUUCUUGCUGUGACAGACACCACAUACACACAUGCACUCACAACACAAGCCAAAGCUGUCAAAGAAUUCAUUAACAUUCAAACCUACCCGCUGAGCCACACGUCCUAACCUGCACACGUUUAAAAGCACCCGCACACAAUCACACUUAUUCACCUCGUCUGUUUUUUCCCUGUCUUAUUGCUCCCAGAGACCCUUGCGUGAUGCAUUAGAGCGGCUGUCACACAACCGGCUGGUACGGAGAGGGUGGGACCGGCUGUGAUUGAUGGCAUGAGGAUAAUGCAUGAUUGGCUCUAUGACUAAUGAUCAUGGUACAGCAGGAGGGAUGAGAGGAUAAAAAGAGAAGUUCUUCAAACUGGAAGGAGUGCUAAUAAUAAAGAUGAAAAGAAAAGGAUGGAAGAAAUGACAAGCAAUAAGAAGAAGAUGAUGUGUUGUACUUGGUGUCCUGGUUUAGCCAUCCCUUUCAUGCUUCUGUCUGAGUGAUAAGCUUUUUCUUUGCCCUGCAGAGAAAAGAAGCCAGCUCUUUGUGUCUAUUUCCACGCUGCAGAGAUCACGAGAUAUGCGUUUAUGAUUAGUGUUCUCUGCAGAAGUGGCACCAGUAACAUAACAUUAAAAAAAAUCACAAACACGACCCGCUAGACUAAUUACAUUGUGUAAAAUGAUUAUAUUCCAUACGGCUUUAAACAUGUACAGUCUGAUAAUUAUGAAACCAUCUGGGAUGUGGAACCAAUCACAAAGUAAACACUAUCUUGUUGCUUCUCAGCAAGUGCAUCAUCACCCCUCCUCGAUACUGGAAGCGUGUGAUUUGAUGGGAAAGCUUGCCAUUCCUGUCCUCUGGUUGGAAACUGUCCAACUGCAGUGAUAGGGCCAUUUCAUCAAAGGACAACAGCGGAACCAUACAGAGCCCCUGCCAGUAGGCCAUCUUGUGAACAUAAACUGUAUUCUUUUAUUUUCUUUGGUGGUGUAAUAGGUCUAUCUUAAGCAGCUUUGGAGAUGGGACAUCAUAUGGAAGACAGGCAAUGUCAUCGACAUCCAACUGUGUUUAUGAUUGCAAGGCCAUUGGCAUGGUGCAGCCCGUCUUGAAAUGAGAUUGGUAACUGUGGUUCCAGGUGGAAAAUCUCACUGUUUAAGUAUUCACAGGACUCAAGGUCAUAGGAUAUGGCUCCUUCACGCUUACAUGUUUAGCGUGAAGUUUUAAAUUGCAUUUUGCUUUUUACUAUCCAAGGUAAAGCCAUCCUAUCACAAGGGUUAUCUUCAACAGCAACACAUUUAGCAGAAUAUAACUGGUUGGAUAUUACGCUCUUGAGAGCAAGACAUUUCUGAUGGCUAACGCGAGAGAUAUGUCCAGGGCCUAAAACUAACUUUUUGCCACACCUGCCAAUGGCUGGUGACUUGAGAAAAUUUAUCAGCCAUAAAUAUUGUUAUUGUGUUUUUUUUUUUUUUUGUUACCAGCCAUGAAACAGAUUAAUCCUUAUUAAAGUUACAAAAGUUA